RNAcentral lists this ribosomal RNA (797 nucleotides) under uncultured bacterium. Its description in RNAcentral is "bacterial SSU rRNA". It matches the Rfam family "Bacterial small subunit ribosomal RNA", at positions 10 to 803 of the family's 1533-position model. The record is from RNAcentral.
AGUUUGAUCCUGGCUCAGAGCGAACGCUGGCGGCGUGCUUAACACAUGCAAGUCGAACGCGCAGUUCGGUGUAGCAAUACAUCGGGUGGGCGCGUGGCGAACGGGUGCGUAACACGUGGAUAACCUUCCUUCAGGUGGGGAAUAACCCAGCGAAAGUUGGGCUAAUACCGCAUCACAUUACGAGGGCACAUGCUCUUGUACUCAAAGCCGCAAGGCGCCAGAAGAGGGAUCCGCGGCCGAUUAGCUUGUUGGCGAGGUAAUGGCUCACCAAGGCAAUGAUCGGUAGCCGGACUGAGAGGUUGGCCGGCCACACUGGAACCGAGACACGGUCCAGACUCCUACGGGAGGCAGCAGCGGGGAAUCUUGCGCAAUGGGCGAAAGCCUGACGCAGCAACGCCGCGUGGGGGAUGAAGCUUCUCGGAGUGUAAACCCCUUUCGACCCGGAAGAAUGCCCGCAAGGGUUUGACGGUACGGGUAUAAGAAGCCCCGGCUAACUACGUGCCAGCAGCCGCGGUAAUACGUAGGGGGCCAGCGUUGCUCGGAAUUACUGGGCGUAAAGGGUCCGUAGGCGGUGUGGCAAGUCGGGAGUGAAAUCUCUGGGCUUAACUCAGAGGCUGCUUCCGAAACUGCCGUGCUAGAGUGUGAGAGAGGCGAGUGGAAUUGCGGGUGUAGCGGUGAAAUGCGUAGAUAUCCGCAGGAACAUCCGAGGCGAAAGCGGCUCGCUGGAUCACAACUGACGCUGAGGGACGAAAGCUAGGGGAGCAAACAGGAUUAGAUACCCUGGUAGUCCUAGCCCU